Molecule: long non-coding RNA, 414 nt
Filed under: Physcomitrium patens
Lineage: Eukaryota; Viridiplantae; Streptophyta; Bryopsida; Funariales; Funariaceae
Description: long non-coding RNA (PPAT_LNC000887)
Source: RNAcentral
GACUGCUGGAAUAUAAACGACUGCAAUAAUGUAUCGUAAAUCUAUACGGAUGCUCUUUGACUGCUUGUCGAAGUCCUUUUUGCCCCAGCCGGUAGGUCUCUAGAUGUUACAGAGAACCCCGAACAAUCCAAACUGUUAAUCUUCAAUACCGCUUUGUACUUACGAUCUUGUAUCCACUGACUGUCUUGUUAGAUUAACCCAAUAAAUUUCAUUCACUCUGCAUACUCAAUCCUAUAGACACCCUUUUAAUCCUUCAAUCACAGACGUGACUCGAUUUCACAAAACAAUCAAGAGUAUUCAAACCCACUUCAUUAAAAAUCCCGAUUCACCAUUAUAAUACUGACUUCAGCAGCGAUUGCCUCAGUCUUCCCAAAACUCUACGAAGAAGAAAAAUCCAAAUUCUAUGUCUUUCCU